Long non-coding RNA from Dreissena polymorpha, 756 nucleotides. RefSeq lists it as uncharacterized. The transcript has 3 exons. Lineage: Eukaryota; Metazoa; Mollusca; Bivalvia; Myida; Dreissenidae. The record is from RefSeq and is a predicted model, not a curated record.
CUGACUCGGACAGCAAGGAGUCUUUUGUCGAUGCUCAAGAUGGCCAUCAUGUUAGAAAUACGAUUUGAUCCUUUCCAGAUGGACUCGUUCGGGGGGAGUACAGUAGACCUGUUUACUUGUAGCGAAAUGGGCAACGGUUAUUGUCACCAGACAUCAUAGAAAUAUAGUGCCCAUUUUGGGCAAAGGACUUGCCUGUUGCAGAGGCAUGCUGUUCCAAUAAAGACUUCUUCUUAGAGCCAUCAUCUCAUGACGUGUUGAUGUUAAAAGAGACCCAUGACUACUGGAACCAAAUUUAGGGUCAACUCUACCUUACAGGGACAAAUUGUUGUGAUUUGAUUGUGUGAUUGAAGACAUGCAGAUCAUUCGUAUAGUGAAAGAUGAUUCUUGGGCAAUGGGCAUCCCCAUAAUGAUUGACUUUUAUUUCAAAACAUUCUUACCCUCUUUUAAUUAAAGGCAGUGCAAUCCUUCUGUUUAAUGACAUUUAACCAAGUGUGGUUAUAUCUAUUGAGAUAUUGUGACAUUUAGUACUAACAUGUGUUAUUUCGGUUUGUCAAUUUUUAAUGAGUUAUUGCCCUUUGUUUCAUUUAUAAGCGUGUCUAUCAUUAGGUUAGUUGUGUCGUGCUUUGAUAUACUCCGCUGUUUUAUAACAUAUUAACCUUUUGAAACUCUGCAAGAAAGCUUGCCUUUUUAUUGAUAUACAUAUGUCUGUCUUAACAGAAAACAUGGCAUGAGAUAAUAAUAAUACAUGAAUAUGAA